AUGGGGGGCGGUGUGGGGGACCGGCGCCGGUCCUAGCCGGGCCUCAACCGGCCCCCAUACCCUUUAGUCUAAAAGUUAUCUACGGCAACCACGAAGACGCCGUACGCCGUCAGAUCUGCCACGAAGUCGAACAACAUUUGAUUGUUUUCAGGAUCAGUAAUUUGAUUAUGAAGUGGUAACUGCUCAGUUGGAGGUACAAGAAUCUGAGAUUUGCAUCUGAUUUUGGGGGUUUAUGUGAGAUUUGCAUUUGAUUUUGGGGGUUUAUGUGAAGAUGAAGGUGCAGGUGUUUAAGCUACUAGCGUGCUAGGGAAGCGAGGCAAUAAUAAGCUUCUAGGAGCCAGUGACCUUAGGACAGUGUCCACGUAACUGCUCCAGGGCCAUAAUUAUCUGUAGAUCUUGUACUGGCACCUGUAGUCAGUAAGAUUUACAGUUAGCCGUCUAGAAGUCUUAAAACAAUAUUUAAUUCGGUCUGUAAUAACUAAGAAUUUGAGUUGUCGGAACAGUUCCCAUAUUGUUU
This 517-nucleotide long non-coding RNA is filed under the name Helianthus annuus (common sunflower). Lineage: Eukaryota; Viridiplantae; Streptophyta; Magnoliopsida; Asterales; Asteraceae. The record is from RNAcentral.